UACGGGGGGGGCAAGCGUUGUUCGGAAUUACUGGGCGUAAAGGGCGCGUAGGCGGCCUUCUAAGUCGGACGUGAAAUCCCUCGGCUUAACCGAGGAACUGCGUCCGAUACUGAAAGGCUUGAAUCCGGGAGAGGGAUGUGGAAUUCCAGGUGUAGCGGUGAAAUGCGUAGAUAUCUGGAGGAACACCGGUGGCGAAGGCGGCCCCCUGGUUGGAUACUGACGCUGAUACGCGAAAGCGUGGGGAGCAAACAGG
RNAcentral lists this ribosomal RNA (253 nucleotides) under uncultured bacterium. RNAcentral describes it as "partial 16S ribosomal RNA". It matches the Rfam family "Bacterial small subunit ribosomal RNA", at positions 524 to 776 of the family's 1533-position model. The record is from RNAcentral.